This is a long non-coding RNA of Rhododendron vialii, 572 nucleotides long. RefSeq lists it as uncharacterized. The transcript is spliced from 2 exons. The record is from RefSeq and is a predicted model, not a curated record. NCBI's taxonomy places the organism in Eukaryota, Viridiplantae, Streptophyta, Magnoliopsida, Ericales, Ericaceae.
UUUGCCCUUUAAUUUUUGGCAUUUUAUCAAUUGCCCAAACGUGUGGGGCAAAAGGGUCUUUUCGUCGUGAGGACCACACGUGGAUUACAUGCUGCCACGUAACCAGAUUAGGUUUCCCUAUCUCUUCCUUACACAACGUCACAACCCACGCGCUCAUACAUACGGCAGCUUCGACGAGAGAGAGAGAGAGAGAGGAGGAGGAGGAGGAGGAACGAUCGCCGACCACCACCGAGCCACCCACUGCUAGCGACGACCACCACCGCUCCCAGUAGCGCCCACCACUUUAAUUUUGCCCAUUUUACGGAUUGCCCAGGGUAUUGCGUGUUGUGCUCAUCUCCAUUCACAAUACCUCUCUCUCGCCUCCCUCUCUGUUCUCUCUCUGUUCACUUGCUCUCUGGCCCUCCGAUCCAGCGCCACUGCAUCGCACCACCACACUGCCUCUCUACUCCGUUAACGGCAUCGCCAUCGGAAUUUUUUUGAGCUGCUGAGGAGAGGAACUGCCGAGGGUCGUGAUUCUGCAAUCAAAUGCUUGCGGACAGCGGUGGCGCCUUGUGCCCUCGAUGCCUAUCCGG